This 93-nucleotide transfer RNA is filed under the name Methyloligella halotolerans. It matches the Rfam family "tRNA". Rfam says of the family: Transfer RNA (tRNA) molecules are approximately 80 nucleotides in length. The record is from Rfam by way of RNAcentral. Lineage: Bacteria; Pseudomonadati; Pseudomonadota; Alphaproteobacteria; Hyphomicrobiales; Hyphomicrobiaceae.
GGAGGGGUGGCUGAGAGGCUUAAAGCACCGGACUGAUACUCCGAUGCACGGUGCUGGAACACCGUGCCGUGGGUUCGAAUCCCACCCCCUCCG